GACGAACGCUGGCGGCGUGCCUAAUACAUGCAAGUAGAACGCACAGUUUAUACCGUAGCUUGCUACACCAUAGACUGUGAGUUGCGAACGGGUGAGUAACGCGUAGGUAACCUGCCUGGUAGCGGGGGAUAACUAUUGGAAACGAUAGCUAAUACCGCAUAAUAUUGAUUAUUGCAUGAUAAUUGAUUGAAAGAUGCUAUUGCAUCACUACCAGAUGGACCUGCGUUGUAUUAGCUAGUAGGUGAGGUAACGGCUCACCUAGGCGACGAUACAUAGCCGACCUGAGAGGGUGAUCGGCCACACUGGGACUGAGACACGGCCCAGACUCCUACGGGAGGCAGCAGUAGGGAAUCUUCGGCAAUGGACGAAAGUCUGACCGAGCAACGCCGCGUGAGUGAAGAAGGGUGUCGGAUCGUAAAGCUCUGUUGUAAGAGAAGAACGGGUGUGAGAGUGGAAAGUUCACACUGUGACGGUAUCUGACCAGAAAGGGACGGCUAACUACGUG
RNAcentral lists this ribosomal RNA (505 nucleotides) under uncultured bacterium. RNAcentral describes it as "partial 16S ribosomal RNA". It matches the Rfam family "Bacterial small subunit ribosomal RNA", at positions 28 to 507 of the family's 1533-position model. The record is from RNAcentral.